Molecule: ribosomal RNA, 369 nt
Filed under: uncultured bacterium
Lineage: Bacteria
Description: partial 16S ribosomal RNA
Rfam family: Bacterial small subunit ribosomal RNA
Source: RNAcentral
UGGGGAAUUUUGGACAAUGGGCGCAAGCCUGAUCCAGCCAUGCCGCGUGCGGGAAGAAGGCCUUCGGGUUGUAAACCGCUUUUGUCAGGGAAGAAAUCUUCUGAGUUAAUACCUCGGGAGGAUGACGGUACCUGAAGAAUAAGCACCGGCUAACUACGUGCCAGCAGCCGCGGUAAUACGUAGGGUGCAAGCGUUAAUCGGAAUUACUGGGCGUAAAGCGUGCGCAGGCGGUUUUGUAAGACAGAGGUGAAAUCCCCGGGCUCAACCUGGGAACUGCCUUUGUGACUGCAAGGCUUGAGUGCGGCAGAGGGGGGAUGGAAUUCCGCGUGUAGCCAGUGAAAAUGCGUAGAUAUGCGGAGGAACACCGAU